GCUACACAUCAACAUUAGAUAACUAGAGACCCUUCCCCUAUAAAAAAUACACAAAGAACAAAAACGGUGGACCUUUCUGGUCUUUGAAGGACAAAAUGAAAGGAGCAACAACCUUUCUUCUUCUUCUCUAUCAAUCAGACUGAUCUCUCACCCUCAUCAUUGCACACUCACACCCGCAGGGAAAAUACUCUGUAAUUUAAAGAAGAUCUGAAGAUCAAAGACCAAGACAAGAGAUAGACAGUUAUUAUGAUUUCUACUAUAUCACUUUAACAAUAUUUUGGGAUCUCAAAGCUAUUUUUUCAAGCUGAAAUCUGAAGCUAUUUGUUCUUUAUUUCUGGAUCUUUGAUAAUUAUUAACUGAGCUCGCUUCCAUUUCUUCUUCCUCUAUUUGGUUUUUCAUCACUUUGCAUUUGCAUGAAUCGUAGGUACACACAGAAUCCUUAUACUCUUAUUCAGUUCUAUAUAAUCUAUUUAUGAAAUUGUUAAACAUGUUGAAUGAUUCUGUUGAGCCUUGAUUUCCUACUCCAAUGUGUUUCUUGAAAUGUUCUCUUACUGCUCAAUUCGUUUGGAUCAUGAGCUAGUGAAAAACCUUGAUUGAAAUUCAUUAACUAAAAUAACACGUGGUAGAAUCUGCAUAUUUCUCUAUAUAUCAAUUCAGAUUAUCAUGCUUUCGAAUUAGGGUCCAAAGUAUUUUGUUCAAGGCACUCAGUUUGAGGUUUUUUUUCAUUAUUUAUAAGGAGUUGACUACUUUGUGGAUAACAAGACAAAUU
Molecule: long non-coding RNA, 769 nt
Filed under: Nicotiana benthamiana
Lineage: Eukaryota; Viridiplantae; Streptophyta; Magnoliopsida; Solanales; Solanaceae
Description: long non-coding RNA (NBEN_LNC032271)
Source: RNAcentral